This 707-nucleotide ribosomal RNA is filed under the name Staphylococcus sp. enrichment culture clone WW1_3-50. RNAcentral describes it as "bacterial SSU rRNA". It matches the Rfam family "Bacterial small subunit ribosomal RNA", at positions 31 to 719 of the family's 1533-position model. The record is from RNAcentral. Lineage: Bacteria; Bacillati; Bacillota; Bacilli; Caryophanales; Staphylococcaceae.
GAACGCUGGCGGCGUGCCUAAUACAUGCAAGUCGAGCGAACAGAUGAGAAGCUUGCUUCUCUGAUGUUAGCGGCGGACGGGUGAGUAACACGUGGGUAACCUACCUAUAAGACUGGGAUAACUCCGGGAAACCGGGGCUAAUACCUGAUAAUAUUUUGAACCGCAUGGUUCGAUAGUGAAAGGCGGCUUCGGCUGUCACUUAUAGAUGGACCCGCGCCGUAUUAGCUAGUUGGUAAGGUAAUGGCUUACCAAGGCGACGAUACGUAGCCGACCUGAGAGGGUGAUCGGCCACACUGGAACUGAGACACGGUCCAGACUCCUACGGGAGGCAGCAGUAGGGAAUCUUCCGCAAUGGGCGAAAGCCUGACGGAGCAACGCCGCGUGAGUGAUGAAGGUUUUCGGAUCGUAAAACUCUGUUGUUAGGGAAGAACAAAUUUGUUAGUAACUGAACAAGUCUUGACGGUACCUAACCAGAAAGCCACGGCUAACUACGUGCCAGCAGCCGCGGUAAUACGUAGGUGGCAAGCGUUAUCCGGAAUUAUUGGGCGUAAAGCGCGCGUAGGCGGUUUCUUAAGUCUGAUGUGAAAGCCCACGGCUCAACCGUGGAGGGUCAUUGGAAACUGGGGAACUUGAGUGCAGAAGAGGAGAGUGGAAUUCCAUGUGUAGCGGUGAAAUGCGCAGAGAUAUGGAGGAACACCAGUGGCGAA